This is a long non-coding RNA of Oxyura jamaicensis (ruddy duck), 265 nucleotides long. RefSeq lists it as uncharacterized. The transcript is spliced from 4 exons. The record is from RefSeq and is a predicted model, not a curated record. NCBI's taxonomy places the organism in Eukaryota, Metazoa, Chordata, Aves, Anseriformes, Anatidae.
AGCUUAGUAACCAACGGAAAUCGGAGAUCACAAACUGUCACUGCGAAAGAGCAGAGAGUAAUUUAAAUCCACCUGAGGCUGGUUCACGGGGACUAUGUGCUUCUGCUCCUUAAGCAAUAUGCCUCCCAAAUAGCUGAUGGAAGUUACCUUCAUAGAUACCUUUCUGAAAUUCCGGUUUAAAAGGCAGAAACCAUGACAGAGAAAUUGGCUUAUCCAUCGGAACUCCGAGUGAAUGACGUCAAGAUGAUUAACAUGUUAUUAUUAA